Molecule: ribosomal RNA, 497 nt
Filed under: uncultured bacterium
Lineage: Bacteria
Description: partial 16S ribosomal RNA
Rfam family: Bacterial small subunit ribosomal RNA
Source: RNAcentral
GACGAACGCUGGCGGCGUGCCUAAUACAUGCAAGUUGAGCGCUGAAGGUUGGUACUUGUCCCAACUGGAUGAGCAGCGAACGGGUGAGUAACGCGUGGGGAAUCUGCCUUUGAGCGGGGGACAACAUUUGGAAACGAAUGCUAAUACCGCAUAAAAACUUUAAACACAAGUUUUAAGUUUGAAAGAUGCAAUUGCAUCACUCAAAGAUGAUCCCGCGUUGUAUUAGCUAGUUGGUGAGGUAAAGGCUCACCAAGGCGAUGAUACAUAGCCGACCUGAGAGGGUGAUCGGCCACAUUGGGACUGAGACACGGCCCAAACGCCUACGGGAGGCAGCAGUAGGGAAUCUUCGGCAGUGGACGAAAGUCUGACCGAGCAACGCCGCGUGAGUGAAGAAGGUUUUCGGAUCGUAAAACUCUGUUGGUAGAGAAGAACGUUGGUGAGAGUGGAAAGCUCAUCAAGUGACGGUAACUACCCAGAAAGGGACGGCUAACUACGUG